RNAcentral lists this ribosomal RNA (460 nucleotides) under uncultured bacterium. RNAcentral describes it as "partial 16S ribosomal RNA". It matches the Rfam family "Bacterial small subunit ribosomal RNA", at positions 338 to 795 of the family's 1533-position model. The record is from RNAcentral.
CCUACGGGUGGCAGCAGUGAGGAAUAUUGGUCAAUGGACGAGAGUCUGAACCAGCCAAGUAGCGUGAAGGAUGACUGCCCUAUGGGUUGUAAACUUCUUUUAUAAAGGAAUAAAACGAGGCACGUGUGCCUUUUUGCAUGUACUUUAUGAAUAAGGAUCGGCUAACUCCGUGCCAGCAGCCGCGGUAAUACGGAGGAUCCGAGCGUUAUCCGGAUUUAUUGGGUUUAAAGGGAGCGUAGAUGGGUUGUUAAGUCAGUUGCGAAAGUUUGCGGCUCAACCGUAAAAUUGCAAUUGAUACUGGCAGUCUUGAGUACAGUUGAGGUAGGCGGAAUUCGUGGUGUAGCGGUGAAAUGCUUAGAUAUCACGAAGAACCCCGAUUGCGAAGGCAGCUUACUAAACUGUGACUGACAUUGAUGCUCGAAAGUGUGGGUAUCAAACAGGAUUAGAUACCCGUGUAGUC